Molecule: non-coding RNA, 69 nt
Organism: Lacerta agilis (Sand lizard)
Lineage: Eukaryota; Metazoa; Chordata; Lepidosauria; Squamata; Lacertidae
Source: the annotation of a RefSeq genome assembly
AAGGCCUUAGCUUAAUUAAAGCGUUUGAGUUGCAUUUAAGAGAUGCAUAUUAAGGUUAUGCAGGUCUUA